RNAcentral lists this ribosomal RNA (732 nucleotides) under uncultured bacterium. Its description in RNAcentral is "bacterial SSU rRNA". It matches the Rfam family "Bacterial small subunit ribosomal RNA", at positions 1 to 722 of the family's 1533-position model. The record is from RNAcentral.
AGGGGUUUGAUCACUGGCUCAGAUUGAACGCUGGCGGCAUGCUUUACACAUGCAAGUCGAACGGUAACGGGAGUUAGCUUGCUAACUUGCCGACGAGUGGCGGACGGGUGAGUAACGCGUAGGUAUCUACCUUAAGGUGGGGGACAACCCGAGGAAACUCGGGCUAAUACCGCAUAUCUUCUACGGAAGAAAGUCAGGGAUCUUCGGACCUGAUGCCUUGAGAUGAGCCUGCGUCGGAUUAGCUUGUUGGUAGGGUAAAGGCCUACCAAGGCGACGAUCCGUAGCUGGUCUGAGAGGAUGAUCAGCCACACUGGGACUGAGACACGGCCCAGACUCCUACGGGAGGCAGCAGUGGGGAAUAUUGGACAAUGGGGGCAACCCUGAUCCAGCAAUGCCGCGUGUGUGAAGAAGGCCUGCGGGUUGUAAAGCACUUUCAGUUGGGAGGAAGUUUGUGGUGUUAAUAGCGCCAUGAAUUGACGUUACCAACAGAAGAAGCACCGGCUAACUCUGUGCCAGCAGCCGCGGUAAUACAGAGGGUGCAAGCGUUAAUCGGAAUUACUGGGCGUAAAGGGCGCGUAGGUGGAAGUUUAAGUCAGAGGUGAAAUCCCUGGGGCUUAACCUAGGAAUUGCCUCUGAUACUGGGCUUUCUAGAGUACAGUAGAGGAAAGUGGAAUUUCCGGUGUAGCGGGUGGAAAUGCGUAGAUAUCGGAAGGAACAUCAGUGGCGGAAGGC